RNAcentral lists this small RNA (48 nucleotides) under Streptomyces halstedii. RNAcentral describes it as "raiA-hairpin RNA". It matches the Rfam family "raiA-hairpin RNA". The record is from RNAcentral. RNAcentral also lists the same sequence under 1 other name. Lineage: Bacteria; Bacillati; Actinomycetota; Actinomycetes; Kitasatosporales; Streptomycetaceae.
CACCGAGUCCGCGGCUCCGGUGAUCACCGGAGCCUGGUGCGAAAAGGA